UUUGUCUUACUGACAGAGUAUGUGGAAUGCAUAAUAAACGGUCAUCAAGUAUGACACUGGAUUCUUCUGAAACGAUCCUGCUAAGCCUGUGGGAGUUAGGCCUGACCAUAUUUCGGACUCUGAUGAAUUAGAAUUCCUCUUGGCUUAUCCUAAUGGUAAACGAAUGAACAUUCCAUUGGAGAAAGAGGAAAAGCUCCUCAAUUAUUAUUGAAUUCUUAUCUGUGGCAAUCCAUACUGUAUUCUGUGUAGUUUUCCUGUAUGGAGUAAAAUGAUUACUUGCUUUUUCUACCGUUUGAUUUUUGAAGGAGAUAGCCCAUGAGUGUCCUUCACGUCCCAUGCUUUGUUCUCAGGCAUCUGACCGGGCUUUCUCUCGCCAUGCUGCGUUACGACUACAGCUGAGUGUCCUCGCUCCGUCGCCACUGCCCCCCUCCCCCUCACCCCAGAUGACCCAAGCCUGUGUAGAUGAGGCAUCCAGCCCAGCGUCCAGGGAUUUACCCGAGUGUGUCUGAAGGCAGAAGACAGCUGUGUAGUGGGCUCUGCUAACAUAAUGCAGGUUAAUCUGUUCGUCUGAUUGGCUUGGUUUUGGGAAAAGCUGGCAAGGCCCUUUUUCUGACGGCUGGAGAGCAGAUCCCAUCCCUGAGAA
RNAcentral lists this long non-coding RNA (643 nucleotides) under Astyanax mexicanus (Mexican tetra). RNAcentral describes it as "lncRNA (ENSAMXG00005020730.1)". The record is from RNAcentral. Lineage: Eukaryota; Metazoa; Chordata; Actinopteri; Characiformes; Acestrorhamphidae.